Molecule: ribosomal RNA, 449 nt
Filed under: uncultured bacterium
Lineage: Bacteria
Description: bacterial SSU rRNA
Rfam family: Bacterial small subunit ribosomal RNA
Source: RNAcentral
GAUGAACGCUGGCGGCGUGCCUAACACAUGCAAGUCGAGCGAUUCUCUUCGGAGAAGAGCGGCGGACGGGUGAGUAACGCGUGGGUAACCUGCCCUGUACACACGGAUAACAUACCGAAAGGUAUGCUAAUACGAGAUAAUAUACUUUUAUCGCAUGGUAGAAGUAUCAAAGCUCCGGCGGUAUAGGAUGGACCCGCGUCUGAUUAGCUAGUUGGUAAGGUAACGGCUUACCAAGGCGACGAUCAGUAGCCGACCUGAGAGGGUGAUCGGCCACAUUGGAACUGAGACACGGUCCAAACUCCUACGGGAGGCAGCAGUGGGGAAUAUUGCACAAUGGGCGACAGCCUGAUGCAGCAACGCCGCGUGAGCGAUGAAGGCCUUCGGGUCGUAAAGCUCUGUCCUCAAGGAAGAUAAUGACGGUCCUUGAGGAGGAAGCCCCGGCUAACUAC